Molecule: long non-coding RNA, 263 nt
Organism: Egretta garzetta (little egret)
Lineage: Eukaryota; Metazoa; Chordata; Aves; Pelecaniformes; Ardeidae
Exons: 3
Source: RefSeq, a predicted model, not a curated record
UCGUCCUGACGCGGGUCCUGGUCCCCGCCUGGAUCAUCCUCUACUACGUGAAGUACCACGUCAUGAAAAUGCCGCACGGUGCUGUUACGUCAAACCCACGGAUUUUCCCGGGGGACAGGAUUUUAGAGACGGGAGAAAUUAUUCCACCCCUGAAAGAAGAACCCCACGAGCACCACUGAUGGCAAACGGCUGAUGUCCUUCUGCCGCGAACAAGGCGAGAACUGCAACGGCUUUCUCUCUCUUAUAAAAGAGUCUUUAUGCUG